AGUGAACGCUGGCGGUAUGCCUAACACAUGCAAGUCGAACGGCAGCACAGGAUGAGCUUUCUCUUACGGGUGGCGAGUGGCGGACGGGUGAGGAAUACAUCAGAAUCUACUUAUUCGUGGGUGAUAUCGGAGGAACAGUUACACUAAUACCGCAUACGACCUACCGGUUAAAGCAAGGGAUCUUCGGGCCUUGCGCGAUUGAAAGAGCCCGCGCCGGAUCAGCUAGGUGGCAGGGUAACGGCUUACCAAGGCGACGAUGCGUAGCCGACCUGAGAGGGUGAUCGGCCACACUGGAACUGAGACACGGUCCAGACUCCUACGGGAGGCAGCAGUAGGGAAUCUUCCGCAAUGGGCGAAAGCCUGACGGAGCAACGCCGCGUGAGUGAUGAAGGUCUUCGGAUCGUAAAACUCUGUUAUUAGGGAAGAACAAAUGUGUAAGUAACUAUGCACGUCUUGACGGUACCUAAUCAGAAAGCCACGGCUAACUACGUG
RNAcentral lists this ribosomal RNA (492 nucleotides) under uncultured bacterium. Its description in RNAcentral is "partial 16S ribosomal RNA". It matches the Rfam family "Bacterial small subunit ribosomal RNA", at positions 29 to 507 of the family's 1533-position model. The record is from RNAcentral.